Non-coding RNA from Sus scrofa (pig), 1390 nucleotides. NCBI's taxonomy places the organism in Eukaryota, Metazoa, Chordata, Mammalia, Artiodactyla, Suidae. The record is from RefSeq and is a predicted model, not a curated record.
GACAGGGAAUUCUCUGGCAACGGGCACCCUAUCAGCUAAGUGGAAAUUCAGAGUUGAGCUGGGAGGUGGUUGCAGAAGGAAAAGUAUUGGCCCCGGAGUUCCCGCCAUGGCUCAGCGGUAACCAACCCGACUGGUAACCAUGAGGACGCCGGUUCGAUCCCAGGCCUCACCCUGUGGGUUGGGGAUCCAGCAUUGCCGUGAGCUGUGGGGGCAAUUUAAUUAUUAGUCCGACCAAAGAACCUAGAAGAGGAGAGGGGAGCAUUUUCCUCCCCUGCAGUUGGCAAGAUACUUCACUGGAUGAACUCCCCCUUCUCCAGGGCUGUGGCAGCUGAGAGGUCCCGGGACAUUUGACGAAAAGCUGCAGAAGAACUUUCCUGACCAUGGGUGAGGAUACCAAACACUCAGAAGACAGUGAAGAGAGAAUUUCUGCUCAAGAUGUUAUCUUUCAUGAGGAAGCUUUGAUUUUUUUACAACAGGGCCACACCAGUGGCACAUGGAGGGGUCUAGGCACUAUGGCAGCUGCAGCUAUCCAGAAGACCCUAGAAGGCUAGAGGACAUUUUCUUCCUCCCCAAGAGCAGCAACAAUGUUCAGGCAUUGUUCCUAAUAGCUGGCUUGGCCUCAGUCACUGAAACCAGCUGGUUUUGCCCCAGCAAAGCCUGUGACCUGUAGAAAUGACAAUGUCCCGAGGAGGACAGCUCAGCUUCUGAAUCGGCCUUGUUCACAUUUGCCCGUGGAGUUUUCCAACGAGCCAGGUUCCUCUUUAUGUUUAUUGGCCACCUUCGAUUUGAAUCAACGUACUUCCUUCUGAGGAGGGCUAGAUGGUUCCCCACUCCACUGGGGGGUGAUACGACAAUGAAGAAAUAUCCUGGCACAGAUGCUAAUUGUUCUGGACAAAAAGAAGAGGAUGCUGGGCUCCAUCCCUGGGCUCUGUCCCUGGCCUCUGAUGGCUAGCGAACACGAGGAAUCCUGUGACUUCCUUUGACUUCCUCCGUCGGGCCCAUGGACCCGAGCUUCGGGGCCUCAGGCCAUGAACAUUAUCUGCCCAAGGAAGAUGUGAGUCAGGAGGCCUUGCAAACUUUUCUAAAUUAGUCAUGAUUCUGAAGAUAAAGACUUAACUGGUUUGAGCCACAGAGAGCCUUAAGGAUCCCCUAAAUGGCUGCUUUUCACGGUGUCUCAUGGUUUUACUCCUUGAUGGCCUGCUGGUUUUACUCCUUGAUUGUCUGCGUUAGGCUUGGACCUGAGGAUGGAGUCAGUGAGAACAGACAAAAAGGAGGAAAGGAGGUGCUUCACAGAGAUACAUGGCGUACAUCUUUCAAGGGCAUCUCUUUCUGACUGCUUCCCAAUCUUUAUACCAAGGAGUCACCAAAAAUAAAUAAAUAAAUAAAUAAA